This 987-nucleotide long non-coding RNA is filed under the name Oryza sativa (Asian cultivated rice). RNAcentral describes it as "long non-coding RNA (OSAT_LNC001707)". Lineage: Eukaryota; Viridiplantae; Streptophyta; Magnoliopsida; Poales; Poaceae. The record is from RNAcentral.
CUCGGCUUUCGCUCACCUCUCAUAUCCGCCUCUCUCGAUAGAAUUGAGAUCCCCUUUCCAUAUCCUCCUCCCAAUGUAGUGUUUGCGCUGCUGCCAGCUCUCUGAUGUCCAUGCCGAGAUUGCCUCCUUCCUUCUACGCUCCCUUGUCUGUGCGAUGAGACUACCAUUUCCUCCUACAUUCCCUCAUCUGUGCGAUGAGGUUAUCCCCUUCCUCCUACAAUCCCUCAUUUGCGACCAUCGCUAUAGUUAUCAAGAGGAUGUAUUGACUUACUCUAGAUCGCUUACAUCAAGACUCAAGGAGUGCGAGGAAAGGUGCAUACCCCUUUCCGUAUUCGUAAAUCUCGGUCGCUAUUGAUACGCAAGCAUGACGUUAUGGGCUCUAGUAAGGUAUGUUUUUUUUACAUGGAAAAAACUUGUUAAUAUUUGUGUUACUAAUAAUUUCUGACCGGUGUUCUAUGCUUGUACAUAUUGAUUUAUUGUUAUGCACAGAAUCCGAAAUGUUUAUACUUUGUGGUUUAAAUUUUUCACAAACCAUAGCCAUGAAAUUCACAAGAGACUGUCCCAUCGUAUCUUUUCUUGUUUGCACUAAUUCACAAGAGAAACACUUGCGAAUUAACAUGGUUCCCAAAAUUCACAGGAGAAACACUCGCAAACGUGGUUCUCGUAGCAUCUUCACAUGAAUCUCUAUCCUUGAAGCAUCAAAACGAAAACCCCCAAAACCAGAUCACAACCUCGGCACCAAACCGUGAAAAAGCUUGAGAACAAAAGCACACGCAUCACACCUCACAGAUCAUCACACAAGAAACCACACCGCAAACCAUGUCAUCCUCCUCAUCUAAUCACCCCCAACACCUCACUCCACCACCCCACACCAAAAUUCCACGCCACCGAGGCACCGAUCCCAGCAAGAAAAAAAAAGAGAAAAGAGAAAAAGAAACAGCCAAACUCAACCGAACAGAAAAGCCCAGAAAACACACAUCACAAACC